Molecule: ribosomal RNA, 617 nt
Filed under: uncultured bacterium
Lineage: Bacteria
Description: bacterial SSU rRNA
Rfam family: Bacterial small subunit ribosomal RNA
Source: RNAcentral
CCUACGGGAGGCAGCAGUAGGGAAUCUUCCGCAAUGGACGCAAGUCUGACGGAGCAACGCCGCGUGAGUGACGAAGGUUUUCGGAUCGUAAAACUCUGUUGUGAGGGAAGAACACGUACCAACUAACUAUUGGUACCUUGACGGUACCUCACCAGAAAGCCACGGCUAACUACGUGCCAGCAGCCGCGGUAAUACGUAGGUGGCAAGCGUUGUCCGGAAUUAUUGGGCGUAAAGCGCGCGCAGGCGGUUCCUUAAGUCUGAUGUGAGAGCCCACGGCUCAACCGUGGAGGGUCAUUGGAAACUGGGGAACUUGAGUGCAGAAGAGGAAAGUGGAAUUCCACGUGUAGCGGUGAAAUGCGUAGAGAUGUGGAGGAACACCAGUGGCGAAGGCGACUUUCUGGUCUGUAACUGACGCUGAGGCGCGAAAGCGUGGGGAGCAAACAGGAUUAGAUACCCUGGUAGUCCACGCCGUAAACGAUGAGUGCUAAGUNUUAGGGGGUUUCCGCCCCUUAGUGCUGCAGCUAACGCAUUAAGCACUCCGCCUGGGGAGUACGGCCGCAAGGCUGAAACUCAAAGGAAUUGACGGCUGNGAGNGCGAGACGACGACGAGGGAGAGG